GGCUCUAUAGUGUAAUGGUUAGCAUGUCUGCUUUACACACAGAAGGUCCUGGGUUCGCGCUCCAGGUGGAGCCA
Pteropus alecto (black flying fox) is the source of this 74-nucleotide non-coding RNA. NCBI's taxonomy places the organism in Eukaryota, Metazoa, Chordata, Mammalia, Chiroptera, Pteropodidae. The record is from Rfam.